RNAcentral lists this long non-coding RNA (14000 nucleotides) under Malus domestica (apple). Its description in RNAcentral is "long non-coding RNA (MDOM_LNC010611)". Lineage: Eukaryota; Viridiplantae; Streptophyta; Magnoliopsida; Rosales; Rosaceae. The record is from RNAcentral.
AUUCAAACAUUUCUUUGACACUAAGAAAUCUGCUGAAGGCCAUGCACCAACACAAAUUUGGAACGUAAAUCAUGUUUAAGGACUAUAAUGUUAGUUGAUUAAUGUCUAAACUAUGUUUUCCUUAUUUUAGCAAGUGUAAAUAAAUCUGUUAGUGAUCAAGGGCUGAGAUUAGAUAAUAUUGUGCUAGGCUCAGAUGUGAGCAUGUGUCAAGAUCUCAUAGGGUCUUGUAAUGAAUGGUAUGAUGAGCUCAUAGACUCUCGUAGCUCCUCUCUCCCUAGUAGUCAUGAAAAUGUUGAGAAAAGAAUGGAAUAUAUUCAGAAGAGCAAUCUUGGCUUUCUCUGAGAUUUUGAGCACUCUCUCUACCUCUUCACUCUCUCUCUAAAACUUCUUCUUUCUGUGCAAAUUGCUGAAAUACAUCACUGCAUAACCUGAGAUUCUAACAUGGUAUCAAGAGCCUAGGUUUGAUUUUGAACUGGGCAUCGAAUUCUGUGAAAUUGUGUGAGAGAAUCCAAUGUGAAAUUUCUCAAUUUCAUUCUGAUAGGGGCAUAUUUAUGCACCUUAGUUAGCUUGUUCUUGUGCAUUUACAUUGUUUUUCCUUAGUUAAAGUACUGUUUUAAGCUAGUUUUAUGUGUUUUCAGGCUAUAAGGGCAAAGUAUGCAAAAGGAUGCGUUUUGGAGCCUUUUGGAGCAAAUUAGAGCUUGGAAUGGACAUCAUAUGCUUGGAGCCAAGAGGAUGGACGAAAUUGAAGAUUUGAAGAUGAUGUUUCCUACUUGAACAAGGUUUCCUUGUUGAAGUAGGAAAGUCCCUAAUUGAAGAUGGAAUCCUAGUUGAAUUAGGAUUCCUAGUUGAAAUAGGUUUCCUAGUGGAAUUGGGAUUCCUAGAAGAUGAAGAUUCCUACUCAAACAAGGUUUCCUACUUGGAGUAGGAAAGUUAAAUCCAAAUGGCAUCAAGUUUUAGCAACAAAGAAGUUUUCCAAGUCCAAGAAGGAAAAGGAAUCCAAGAUGAUGAAGGAUUGACAAAGACAAACUUUCCUAAUCCUAACGUACAAUGAUUUCAGAUCCAAAGAGGAGUCCUAAACACUUUAGGACACCUUAUCCUUUCACAAUCAGCCUUAUCCCUUAGUGCCACACCUAUUCCCUUCUAGAAAUCGGAUUUCCUUGCCUUGCAAGGCUUUCUAGAAGCCUUAUCCACUCUAUCCCUUACCUGCCGCACCUAGGAGGCCUUUUCCCAUUCAAAAUCUGAUUGUUUUAAGCCAUUUCCUGAUGGGUUUUAAUUAUACAAGUCCAUAUUUGAUUUCCCUAGGGUUUUAAAUGCCUAUAUAUACUCAUAUUAACCCUUUGGCUGAAUUACCACCUCUCAUACACAUCAAUUCACGCCAGAAAUCAUCCCUUGCUCUCUGCCGCAUCCUUCCACCACCAUAUUCCAUAAUUUUUGCCCAAAAUCAUCCCUAGCCGCACCACCCAUCAACCCUAGACACCACCACACAUCCCCCAUCCAUUCUACACCAUUCAUAACCCCACAACCUGUCCACAACCUUUGUGUCGCAGCAAGGAGAAAGGGAGGAACUUCGUGGAUGCACUUGCUGUCCAAGUUGGAGUAUCUAGGUGUUUUCUUUCUUUGGAUUUCAAUGUUUAAACUUAUUUAUCUUUGCUUUGUGCAUAUGAGGAACUAAACCCCCCUUGGCUAGGGGGGAUUCAAAACCAUGUUUAUGCUUGCUAUAUGAUUUGAUUACUUCUAAUUGCGUUUCAUAAGUUGUGAAUUCAAUUUACUUAUCUAUAUGAAUUAAAACUGGUUUGUGUAUGUUGGUUAAGAGGGCCCACUUAGUUUGCAUGCAUGAAUUUGAUGCUAGGAUAUAAGGGAAUUUCAAUUAAUUGUUAUGAACUUAUAUUCACAAGUAGUAAAGGUUGUUGAUCACAAUCGCGUUAAGUAAAUUCUUGGCAUAAGUAUCAUGCGCUUUCAUAGUUACGAGUGCCUCGUCAAUUCUUAUGAUUUUCAUAGAACUUAAUGAUCCUUGCUUGAAUCUCUAUUAUGCGCUUUCAUGUAGGGAACUUGUGCGGAAUGCUUUGGGUUGUCGUAUGCAAUUCAUCCAAUUCAAUAACUUCAGGAAAAUUUGAGGGUUAAUUUAAGCGAACCUAAUUAACUUGGGGCGUUGAGAAUUCAUGGUUUAUUGAGAAGCAAUUGGAAAUCGUUUUGUAUGCAAGUGUGACAUGUGUGGAGAAGAACCCCUUAGCUAGCUUUCCAUCCAUCAAAUUCGUUUUAGAAUCUGUUCAAAUUUACAAAGUUUUGUUUCGUUUUCAAUUUUCGUCAAAAUCAAUCCCCCUUUAUUUUGUUGAGUCAUAUUAGUUAGAAAUUGAUUUAGUUUGUGUUUUUAAGAGUCUUGAGUCAAGUUAAAACCAAUUUUCGUCCAAAUUUGUGUUUAGUGUUCAAAACUGCCCAUAAAGUGUUUUUAAGGCAGUUUUAAGUGUUUGUUUGCUGUUUUGAGUCUUUUGGUUUGUUUUGGUGUUUUAAAGUUUAGUUUUGCAUUCUUUGAGUCUAGUUUAGUGUUUUAAACUUGUUUUUACGUAUUUGAGUCAGUUUUCAAGUGAUUUAGCAAUCCCUCCUAAUCCCCGGCCUAGAACGAUCCCUACUUACAUACUUUGCUACAAUUGAUAAAAAGAGGGUUAAUUUGAGUGCUAGUUAAUAUCAUAUCACAUUCCGAUUCACGUUGAAAUGGCUGGAUCUGGAAGCGGUGAUUUACGAGAUCCUGUUUUUUAUGGAACGGAGUUCGAGUUCUGGAAAGUGAGGAUGGUCACCAUUUUCAAAUUGUAUGGGAUCUGGAAAUUGGUUGACAAAGGGAUUGCUAUUCCAGAAUUGAAGAAGAAAGGAGAAAAGAAAAAAACAAAGAAGGAGAAAGACGAGGAAGAUUCAUCCUCAUCGGAUGAUGAUGAAGGAGACGAUGACGAGUUAGAUGCGCACAUGGAGGAUCAGCUCAUGAAAAAUGCUAAGGCACUGGGCAUUAUUCAGAGUGCUGUCUCGAAAGAGAUCUUCCCUCGGAUUGUGAAUCAAGAGACCUCAAAGGGUGCCUGGGAUCUACUCUAGGAGGAGUUUCGCGGCGAUGAACAGGCAAGAUCUGUUAAACUUCAAAAUUUGCGUCGUGAAUUUGAGUAUAUGAGAAUGAAGGAAAAAUAAUCUCUAUAUGUCUAUCUUACUAGACUAUUUGAAUUAAUUAAUCAAAUGAAAUCUUAUGGUGAGAACCUCACUCAUCAAAGAGAAGUGCAAAAGGUUUUGAUUAGUUUGUCUAGUAAUAUGAUCCAAUCUGUGUUGUGAUUGAAAGAACUUCUGAUUUGAAUACUGUGACUGUGCAAGAAGUGGUAGGAUCCCUUAAAAGUUAUGAGCUUAGGUUGAGUAGACAUGUGGAUGAAAUUACAAGCACGGAGCAUGCUUUCUCCACUAUGGGUCUUGUACCUAAAGCACAGAAUAGGCUAUUCACAUAGGGAAAUCACAGUAAGGGAAAAAAGAAUUGGAAGUCUAUGUCUAGGAAAUGGGAAAACAAUACUCGACAGCCUAAGAGACAGGGUGAGAUCACUGAGGGUGUUAAACAAAAGUGCAAGAUCUGUGAUAAGGCUUACCAUGGUGAGUGUUGGUUCAAAGGAAAACCUAAGUGUCAUAACUGCAACAGGUUUGGACAUGUAGUGAGAGAUUGUCACCAGCCAAAGAAAAACCAUACUGCAAAUUAUUUGAAUCAUGUUCAAGAUAAUGCAAUGAUGUUCUAUGCCUGUUAUAAGGCCUAUGUGCAAGAAAAUAAUGGUGUUUGGUAUCUGGACAGUGGUUGCAGUAACCACAUGACCAGUACUGAAUCAUUGCUUAUCAACAUUGACAGAAGUAUAAGGUGUAAGGUGAAAAUGGGCACAGGGGAUUUGGUUGACUCAGUUGGCAAAGACACACUGAUAGUGGAGACCAAAAGAGGCAGACGGUUCAUACCAGAAGUGAGCAUGGUGUAUGGUCUGCCCUACCUAAAGGAGGCAUAUUUGGAGAUCGUGAACUGCAAGAUCAUGUAGCCACUGUGAAAAUGAAGGGAAAUAGAUGCUUUCCACUAAUGUUUAAAUAUGUGGAUCAUAUUGUAGCAAAUAUUGCUACUACUGAAGGUAACAUAUGGAAAUGGCACAGAAGAUUUGGGCACUUAAACUAUGACAGCCUGAGAAUGCUGCAAGAAAUGAGCAUGGUGUAUGGUCUGCCCUACCUAAAGGAGUACAAUCAGGUGUGUGAAGGGUGUGCUAAUGGAAAGGCUCACAGAGAGGCUUUUAACAAAUAACAGAAAUGGAGAGUAAGGUUGCCCUUAGAACUUGUACACACAGAUGUGUAUGGACCCAUGAGUGAGACUCUUGGAGGUAGCAGGUACUUUCUUACCUUCAUUGAUGACAAGUCCAGAAUGUGUUGGGUCUAUUUCCUGAAGUGCAAAUAUGAGGUAUUCAAAAUUUUUAAAAUGUUCAAGGCCAUGACUGAAUUACAAAUUGGUUACAAACUGAAGAAACUCAGAAGUGACAGAGGAGGGGAGUACACAUCUCUAGAAUUUGAAAAGUUUUGUGAAGAUGUUGGUAUUGAAAAGCAACUCACUGUUGCUUAUUCUCCCCAGUAAAAUGGUAUUGCUGAGAGGAAGAAUCGUACCAUAGUAGAGAUGGCAAGAACCAUGCUCUAUGAGAAAAAAUUACCACUCAAGUUCUGGGGUGAAGCAGUUCACACUGCUGUCUACUUGCUUAAUAGGUGUCCUACCAAAGUACUAGAGAACAAGACUCAUUUUGAAGAAUUCUGUGGUAGAAAACCAAGGGUAAAACACUUGAGAAUCUUUGGUUUUGUUUGAGUAGAAAACCAGGGGUAAAACACUUGAGAAUCUUUGGUUCUGUUUGCUACACUCAUGUGCCAACCCAGUUAAGGCAGAAACUGGAUGAAACUGGACAGAAAUGUGUAUUUGUUGGAUAUGGGACAAGAGAAAAGGGCUACAGGGUGUAUGAUUUGAAACACAACAAGAUGAUUGUCUUAAGGAGUGUUAUUUUUUAUGAAGAUGCUGCUCUUAAUUGGGAGAAUAUGGAAACUAUGCACUUCUCAGUACCUUUCUCAGAAGCUAAUGAGGGUAUAAGCAUAACUGAGAUAGAAAACGGUGUGUGUGAAGAAACUAAUAUUGGUUCUUCUGAUUUAUCUUGCCCAAACACAAGAAAUGAGUAUGUUCCCAGUGUACACAAUGAUGCUCCUAAUGCUGUGAAUAUGGAGAGUGAAAUUCAACUCACAGAAAAUUAUGACAACACACCAAAGAAGUGGAGAAACCUAAAUGAAGUGUUUGCUCAGUGUAGACUCAGUGUCAAACUACAAUGAAGCUUCUCAAGAUAAAGCUUGGAAGAAAGCAAUGAAUGAUGAGAUUACUAUGAUUAAGAAGAAUGAUACUUGGAGAUUGGUUGAUAGGCCAAGUGACAAACCAAUUGUUGGGGUAAAAUGGAUCUUCAAAACCAAGUUGAAUCUGGAUGGCACUAUACAAAAACACAAGGCAAGAUUAGUUGCCAAAGGGUACACUUGAAAGCCCGGGAUUGAUUUUAAUGAGACGUUUGCACCUGUGGCUAGAUUGGACACUAUAAGGACACUCAUUGCUUUGGCAGCACAGAAAGGGUGGAAACUGUUCCAGUUAGAUGUAAAGUCUGCUUUUCUGAAUGGGAUCCUUGAAGAGGAAGUCUAUACAGAUCAACCAGAUGGGUAUAUUGUCAAGGGAGAAGAACACAAAGUGUAUAAGUUAAAAAAAGCCUUGUACGGUCUAAAACAAGCUCCCAGAGCUUGGUACAGCAACAUUGAUACUCAUUUGCUGCAGAGUGGAUUUGAAAAAAGUCCAAGUGAGGCCACUUUAUAUGUGAAACAUAUGGAUGGACAGGGAACUCUGAUUGUCUCUAUAUAUGUGGAUGACAUAGUUUAUACUGGAAGCUAUUUAGAAAUGAUUGAAGAUUUCAAAUGUGAUAUGAUGAACAAGUAUGAGAUGUCAGACAUAGGCUUGUUGCAUCAUUUUCUUGGAAUUGGAGUAAUCCAACAAGAAGGGAGCAUUUUUAUUCACCAGAAGAAGUAUGCACUGAGUUUACUGGACAAGUUUGGUUUGAAGAGCUGCAAAUCUGUCUCAAUUCCCUUACCUCCCACGGAUAAGAUAAGGAAAUGUGAUGGGAGUGAAGCUGCAGAUGAGGAAUUGUAUAGGAAAAUUGUUGGCAACCUUCUGUACUUAACUGCAACAAGGCCUGAUAUCUUGUACUCAGCAUGUGUACUUGCCAGGUACAUGCACUGUCCUUCCAUCAAACAUCUUGGCACUGCAAAGAGGAUCCUCAUAUAUGUGCAAGGUAUGAAAAAGGAAAUGCAGCUCUACUCAUAGGAUUAUAUGACAAUGAUUGGAAUGGAGAUGAAGAUGACAUGAAGUCCACAUCAAGGUAUGCUUUUAGCUUUGGCAGUGGUGCAUUCUCUUGGGCUUCUGUAAAGCAACAGAGUGUUGCACUCUCAACUGCUGAAGUCGAGUAUAUGAGUGCCUUAGAAGCUACCACUUAAGCUACAUGGCUGAGAUUUGUGCUGCAUGAUUUUGGUGAAGAAUUGAUCGAACCAACUCCUUUGAUGUGUGAUAACACAUCAGCAAUUGCAAUGUCAAAGAAUCCGGUAUUCCAUCAGAAGUCUAAACAUAUCAAGAGGAAGUUUCAUUUCAUCAGAGACGCAAUUCAGGAAGGAACAAUUGAUCUACAAUAUUGCAAAAGUGAGGAGCAACUAGCAGACAUCUUCACCAAAGUGCUUGCUAAAGACAGAUUUUGUGCUUUAAGGGACAAGCUUAGGGUAAUAUCAGUUAAGACCUUAGAAGGGAGUGUUAGCUGAUUAAGGUCCAAACUAUGUUUUCUUUAUUUUAGCAAGUGUAAAUAAAUCUGUUAGUGAUCAAGGGCUGAGAUUAGAUAAUAUUGUGCUACGCUCAGAUGUGAGCAUGUGUCAAGAUCUCAUAGGGUCUUGUAAUGAAUGGUAUGAUGAGCUCAUAGGCUCUCGUAGCUCCUCUCUCCCUAGUAGUCAUGAAAAUGUUAAGAAAAGAAUGGAAUAUAUUCAGAAGAGCAAUCUUGGCUCUCUCUGAGAUUUUGAGCACUCUCUCUACCUCUUCACUCUCUCUUUAAAACUUCUUCUUUCUGUGUAAAUUGCUGAAAAACAUCACUGCAUAACUGAGAUUCUAACAUAUAAGCACGUGAUACAUUGAUAUAUUUGGAAGAUCUUCUAAUUGACAAUCAUAUUGUCUUAGAAGUAUAUAUCCUAUAUGGGUAAUUGAUAACAUCCAACGAACUACAUCUUAUUUGAGUUCGUUUUUCUCCCAAUGGAGAAAUCCAUUAUCUUAUGAUGCUACUUUCCUUAAUAUCUUUCAAGGAAACUCAUCCAAAGUGUUACUUUUCCUUGGAUCAAAUCUAAGGAGAAAAUACUUUAGACGUCUUACUCAUCAACUUACAUUCUUGAAUUCUUUGAAACCUUUUGCAAAGUAUUCGGACUUGUAUUUAUUCAAAAUAAACGAUAGUUGAACCGAGAGCGAUCUUCGGUGUAUGUCAUACAACAUGAGUAGUAUUAUGUUGUGGACAAGUGCCACUAACAUCUAAGUGAAUUAACCUCAACAACUUUGUGAUUCUUUAUUCUUUCCAAAAGAAUAAAGAUUUGAACAUUUUGCCUCUAUACAGUUUUAACAAGAAGGCAUUGGAUCCGGAUCUAACAAACCAAAGCAUCGAUUUAUGGCCAACUUGUAAUUUAUGUUUUAAAGGUGUCACAACUCAGUGGGAUUAGUCACUAUCUUGCAAACUUUUGGGUUUUAAGCAUCGUUAUGUUCUAAACAGUUAGCACUACCACAUCAUCUCUACUAUAGAGACAAUCAAUUAGAUUACAAUAAUCCAAUCAUUCAUUAAUAAAGAAUAAUGUUUUGUCAAACAAAACAUUCAUCCAUCUCUUAUAGUGACGGAAUUAAGUUCCUUAUUCAAAUUGGAAUGUAAAUACAAUCUUUGGUUUUCCAAUUUCUUUGGUAAUUCAUAUGAGGAAGUAAGUAUUAUCUGCUUUCGCAGAGAUCUAUAUUUUAUUCAUGUUCCGAAUGUGAAGUACUUUCUUUUCUCUCAUUAAUCUUCUACCUCUUAUUUGCCACAUUUUUACAACUAUUGUAAAACAUAGUUACUAAUACAAAAGCAAGCAUUCAAGUAGAAGAACCAACUGUUUUGAACUUAUUCAAGAACAAUUUACAACACCUUCGAAAGAUGUGUUCUUGACACUGUUGAUUAUUUUAAAUAUUUUAAUAAUAUUUUAUUUUAAAGAUUUAGAACUUAUUAUUAUUUUAUUUUAUUUAUUUUUAAUAUCUAAGAGUUGUGUUUUAUUUGAAGAGUCAUAAUCCUUUUCUAAAAGGGUAUGAGAAGUUCUUUGAAUAAGAAACCUUAGACAGAAAACAAAAUACGCUAAACUUUUCUGUCUCCCUCAAUUCUCACAUAUCUCUCAGUCAAUUUACAUUCUUACUUCAUAAUUCUUGGGCAAUUGAUCACUACUUGGCAAUCUCGUCUGCCGUUGAUGUGCAUAUCGGAUCAGACAUCUUGUGAGACUUUGGGUUGUAUCUUGGAGUUGUAGGCACCGCCAUAACCUGCACGUAGGGAGGCGUCUACGGCUUUAGGACAGCGACAUCGCGCCUCUCUUUGGUUCACAGGCCAGAUAUUCUUAUUCUCUUUUUCCUAAUUUUAUUUUCAUAAGUCUGAUGUGAUUAUACAUUUGAUUUGAUAUAUUUGAUCAUAUAUAUAAUUGGUAUAUUUUUGCAAUAUAUUUCAUAAUCUAAAGUCGUACAAGGUGUGAUAAUAUAAUUGCAAAUUUUACAAUCUGUUUUUAUAGUACCUUGAAAGCCCUAAGAAUUGUAGUUUUUUCCUACGUUGAAAGUGGAAUUUUAGGGUUUUGUCGUUCAUUGCAUUUUUUUUUAAUUCGGAUCAUGUCGUUGCUUUUCUGACUCUCUGUCGUUGCUUUACUGACUCUCUGCACAUAGGAAGGGUAACCUUGCCCUUCAUUCAUUGAGUCCUGUCAUUGAAUUGUCUGAGAAGGCAAAUCUUGCCUUUAAUUCAUUGCUUUUUUGACUCAUUGCAUUUUCUUUAUUUUAUUUAGUACCAAAACAUUUUAAUAUUGCAUAUCUGUCAACUAUUGUUUGGGGUUGAUAAUCUUGGUAAACUAUAAUUAAUAAUUAAAUAUUACUUGUAAACUGCAUACUGUUACUUGUAAAAUGCAAUUAUUUAAUAUUGCUUGUCUGUCAAGUGAUUUGACUACAAUUGCAUCAGUGCGUGAGUAUUACAGUUUGUGUGUGAUUAUUCAGUACCAAGCACUUGCAUCUUUUAUACUUUAAUUAAAUCUUGUGCUUUAAUCACAACGUGAUUUGAACAACAAUUGCAUACUAAUAUAUAUAAUAUUAAACUGUGCGUAAUUAUCAUUAUUCUUUAAUUAAAUCUUGUGCUUUAAUCCCAAAGUGAUUUGACCAACAAAUUGCAUACUGAUAUGUAUUAAUUGUUUCAUGCUUUAAUUAAAUAUUGUGCAUAAUUAUCUUUAUUAAUUGAUCUGUGGUUAUUAUAUAGUAGUAUAGUUUAUCCUAUACUUGUUAAAAAUUUUGAGUGACAAACGUGUUUUAAUCUCUACAGUAUUAUAGAAAUCUUAUGUCUCUCUCACUUGUUAUUAGUCAGUAUUUACAUAACAAAUGGCAAGCCUAGAAGAAGCCAAUAGUGUUAAGCCUGGAAACUUUAGUGGCCAUAAUUUUCAUAGGUGGCAAAAACAAGUAAAAUAUUGGUUAACUAUCUUAGGACUUGCAUCUGCACUUGAAGAAACUCAAUCAAACAAGAUUCCUCUUCUAAAGAGUCAUCUUCUAAACCAACCCUUGACCUAAUAGAAUACCAUUGUCACAACAGAAUCUUAAGUGCCCUUUCUGAUCACCUCUAUGAUGUGUAUCAUGCUACUACAUCCACCGCCAAAGAACUUUGGGAAACUUUAGAAGCGGAAUAUGGAAUUGUAGUUGUUAGGAUGGAUAGGUUCAUGGUCUCAAACUUUAAUGAUUAUAAGAUUGUUAAUAAUAAGUCUAUGGGGGAACAAAUACAUGAGUAUCAAGGGCUAUUAAGAGGCGUUGAAAAGAAAGGAACGAAGUUCAGUGAGGACUUUAAAGUCUCCUGCCUUAUUAAUAAACUAACUCAAUCUUGGAAUGACUUUGCUAGAACCUUAAGGCAUAAACAAGGAGAACUUACUUUGGUUCAAGUCAUAAAUUCAAUUAGGAUCGAAGAGAAACAUAGGUUAAGCCAAAAGAAGGAAACCGAAAGGCAAACAACUGUGAAAAUAGGAUUCCUUUGUCAAACACAUUUUAAGUAUGAUUCCUUUGUCAAUUUUACUUAUGAAAAUAGGAUUGGUGGGUAGAUUCUGGAGCUAAUGUACAUGUCUGUUUUGAUCGUGAAUUUUUUAAAACCUAUCAGAAAUCAAGUGGAGGAUGCGUAACUCUAGGAAAUGACUCAAUGUCGCAAGUGCUUGGAAUUGGAGACAUAGAACUAAAGAUGACAUCUGGAAAUGUCUUAAUUUUGAAGGACGUGCGACAUGUACCUGAUAUAAUAAGAAAUUUAAUUAGCGGAUCAUGUUUAGCAAAUCAAGGCAACAAAGUUGUAAUGGAAUCAAAUAAGGUUGUAAUAACUAAGAAUAAUGUAUUUAUUGGAAAAGGUUUUAUCAGUGAAGGAUUAUUUAAGUUAAGUGUUUCUUCAGAGUGCAAUACUCUUCCAAAAGUUCUUAAUGUUGAGUCUAGUAAUGCUUGGCAUGGACAUUUGGGGCAUGUAAACUUGUUCAAAAUUAAGAAAAUGAUGGAUUUGGAUCUAGUCCCAAAGUCAAACAUGAAUCUCAAGCAUAAGUGUGAAAUUUGUGUACAAGCAAAGCAACCCAAGAAACUUUUUAAGUCUGUCGAAAGAAAUACCCAAAUUUUAGAGCUUAUACAUAGUUAUGUUUGUGACUCAAAUAGAUUACCUACUAGAGCUGGUAAUAAGUAUUUUGGCACAUUUAUAGAUGAUUGUUCAAAGUAUUGUUAUAUUUAUUUGAUAAAGACCAAGGAUGAAGUAUUUGGUAAAUUCAAGAUUUAUAAGAUAGAAGUGGAAAAUCAAUUAGAGAAAAGGAUAAAGAGACUUUGGUCAGAUAGAGGUGGUGAGUACACUCUUACCAAUCUUAGUGUUUUUUGUGAAGAGCAUGGUAUUAUACAUGAAGUAACAGCACCCUAUUCUCCACAAUCAAAUAGAGUUGCAGAAAGGAAGAAUAAAACCUUAUUGGACAUGGUCAAUGCAAUGCUUUUGAGUUCUGGAUUACCGGAAAAUUUGUGGGCGGAAGCAAUUUUGACUGCAUGUUUUAUAUUAAAUAGAGUAAUCAUUAAAAAGAACACUACUACUCCAUAUGAAAUUUGGAAAAAGAGAACACCAAAUCUCCAAGUCUUGAAAGUGUGGGGGUGUUUGGCUAAAGUUGCAAUCCCAUAACCUAAGAGAAAUAAGAUAGGACCUAAAACUGUGGAUAUUGUUUUCUUAGGUUAUGCUCAUAAUAGUAGUGCCAAUAGAUUUCAAGUCAUCAACUUUGAAAUAAAUGAAAUUUUGAAUAACACUAUAUUCGAGUCUAGGGAUGCAACAUAUUUUGAAGACAUAUUUCCUUUCAAGACUAGAAUACAAAAGCAAGUGGUGGAUAGAUCAUGCACUAGUACUGACAAAGCCUCCACAAGUAUUAGCCAUCAAGUUACAAAUGAAGAAGAACCUUUAGUUGAACUUAGAAGGAGUAAGAGACCUAGAGUGGAGAAGAACUUUGGUGAUGAUUUUGAUACAUUUCUAAUUGAAGGUGAUCCAACAACAUAUAAGGAUGCCAUGAUCUCCGUCGAUGCUCCAUUUUGGAAAGAAGCUAUAAAUAGUGAAGUUAAGUCUAUUUUACAAAACAAUGCUUGAGAGUUAAUGGAUUUACCACCCGGUACUACACCAAUUGGUGUAAGUGGGUAUUUAGGAAGAAACUGAAGCUUGAUGGAAGUAUAGACAAGUACAAAGCUAGGCUAGUAGCUAAGGGAUUCACUCAAAGGAAAGGAAUUGAUUAUUUUGACACCUACUCUCCUGUGUCUAGGAUUACCACAAUUAGGAUCCUCAUAGCAUUAGUUCUAUACACAAUUUAGUAGUUCAUCAAAUGGAUGUUAAAACAACAUUUUUGAAUGGAGACUUAGAUGAAGAAAUUUACAUGGAGCAGCCUGAAGGAUUCAUAGUGAAAGGCCAAGAACAUAAAGUGUGUAAGUUGGUUAAAUUGUUAUAUAAACUUAAGCAAGCUCUUAAGCAAUGGCAUGAGACGUUUGAUAAAGUCAUUUUAGAAUAUGAUUUUGAAAUUAUUGAGCAUGAAAAGUGUGUCUACUAUAAGGAAUGCAAUGGAUAGUGUGUUAUUUUAUGUGUUUACGUUGAUGAUAUAUUAUUAUUUGGAACAAGUCUGGAAAUAGUGAAAGAUAUUAAGUCUUAUCUAUCAAAGAGAUUUGAUAUGAAAGAUCUAGCAGAAGCCAACAUUAUUUUAGGAAUGAAAGUAGAAAGAACACAAGCAGGUUUUAUUAUAAACAAGCUAGUUCAAUUGAGAAAAUGCUUAAGAAGUUCAAUUUUUUCAAUUGCAAUCCUGUAUCGACACUAUAUGAACCGAGUGUGUGCUUACUUAAAAAUAGUGGUGAACCCGUGUGUCAACUCGAGUAUUCUCAAAUGAUUGGGUCUUUGAUGUAUAUAGCAAAUAAAACUAAACCCGAUAUAGCUUAUGUGGUUGGAAGGCUAAGUAGAUACACUCAUAAUCCAAGUAAAGAACACUGGAAUGCUUUAAGGCGAGUGUUUAAGUAUCUAAGAGGAACUAUGGAUUAUUCUAUACACUAUAAAGGAUUUCCUUAAUCAGUAGAAGGGUAUAAUGAUGCCAAUUGGAUCACUGAUAACUCCGAAGUGAAAUCUACUUUAGGUUAUGUAUUUUUAUUGGGAGGAGCAGCUAUAUCUUGGGAAUCUAAGAAACAAACAAUAAUUUCUAGAAGUACAAUGGAAUAUGAACUCAUAGCUCUUGAAACUGCAUGUAUAGAGGCUGAAUGGAUUAAGAAUUUUUUGCUUGAUAUUCCAUUGGUGAGCAAGCCUAUACAUGCCAUCUCUAUACAUUGUGAUAAUAAGGCUGUGAUAGAUUUAGUGAGGCAGACACAUACAAAUAAGAAAUUAAAUAGACAUAUUAAUGUUAGAUACAAAUUUGUGAGACGCUUGUUAAAUAAAGAAGUUGUUUCUUUGGACUAUGUGAAGUCGGAAAAGAACACUGCUGAUCAAUUGACCAAAGGUUUAUCUAGGAAUGGAGUCCUAGAUUUGUCGAGGGCGAUGAGCUUAACCCAUAAGGAAGUCACCCAUGGAAGAAACCCAACCUUGGUGAUUAGAGAUCCCAUGAAGAAGGUUCAAUGGGUAGAAACAAUCCAUAUUGCGUGACUUAUAUUCUAGCACUCUAAAAUAGGAGAUUUGAAAUAAAAUCGCCUGUUCAUCCCUAUAACAUUUGUGUUGAUGAUAUGUGAUGUUAAGGAAAGACAUUGACUUGAAUGAGUUCCACAGCGGGCAAUCUCCAGCAGAGUACAGGUCACAUGUACUCUUGGAGGACUCACCUAAGUGAGAGUAGUCGUGAGGCCACGACUGUGAGAAUUGGGUUGUUCUCUAAAAACACUCAUGAGAAUCAAGAUUAAGCGCAUGGCCAUAAAUAGUGCCAACCUGCGUCAAGUUUUUGAUCAAUACUAUGUGUGUCAUAUGUGGUAAUCUGAAUUAGAGGAAUCUAGUUCAAGACUUAGUUCACUAUGAUUCCUUCAGAUGAAAACUAUGAAUACUAAGUGUAGGUUCAAGUCCAUAAUGAAGGGAAAAAUUAUGAGUUUAACACAUGGGAUUUCUAAAUGACUAGCAUGCAUAUACAAUUCAAAAAUUUAUAUACAUGAGCAACGGAAGCAAUUUAUCAAAUAAUAUCAAAGC